Molecule: long non-coding RNA, 11134 nt
Organism: Passer domesticus (house sparrow)
Lineage: Eukaryota; Metazoa; Chordata; Aves; Passeriformes; Passeridae
Exons: 2
Source: RefSeq, a predicted model, not a curated record
UGUAAUUAGAGCGUGGUGGUGUCAGGGCUGUAAUUAUGCAGAUUGAGAGUGUGAGGGGAAUGGGAAUCAUAAAUAGAGGCUUUGUUGGGCUUGAAAGGAGCUAAUUCAGCCAAAAGCCGCCGUUUGUAGGUUUGAAAUGUGCUGAUUCUGGGAGUUUUGGCACAAAGCGAGGAAAGCGACACGUUUUUUGAAGUUGCGUUGGUGGUGAAGCAAACACUGAACCGAGCAUUGCAGAAGACGACGUAACUAUUGGUUAUGUACAGGAGAGCUCCUGAGGUGAAAGAUGCCCUCGUAUUGAAAUGUCUUUCUUAACACAACUCGGAUACGUAGGUAGGCUUGUAGCUUGCAAAUCUUUUUUGCAUGAGAUAUGAGGUGUUCUCACGGUAGUGGUUUUGCAUUGUCUUUCAUUGCCCAGCACUGUAAGAAGCCAUUGCUGGUGUCCCUUGUGUCACCUAGGAGGUGAGCAGGGAUUCAGUGUUGCCCGACAGUUCAGGCAUCACACUGCCCUCGUUCAGUUCAUUUCCUCUGGCUACAGCUUUAGGGGACAGCCUUCUAAGUCACAGCCCUAAGUCUCCUAUGGCUCUGAUAUGAAACCAGGAACAAAUCUCAUGAAAUCAGGGAAGGUUUAGAUUAGAUAUUAUAAAAUAUUUCUUCACCAAAAGUGUCAUCAAGGAUUAGAACAGAGUGCCCAGGGAAGUGGUUGAAUCACCAUCCUGCAAGUAUUUGAAAGAUGUGUAGAUGGGCACUUGGGGAUGGUUUAGCAAGGAGUUGGCAGUGCUGGGUUAACAGGCUCAGGGAUCUUUGAUGUCUUUGCCAGCCUAAAUGAUUCUGUGAGUCUGAGGCUUGUAAGUUGCUCAGCUACCCACUAAAAAUAGCUAUUGGUCACUCACUACCCAGUUCUUGAACAUCAGCUUUAGGCAGAGCAGUAGCACUGUCAGCCACUGCUGCCUUCACCUGUCUCUGGUGUAGGGAGGUUUCUGGUGUAAGGAGGAACAGACACUGAUUCUCUGUUCAGGGCGUAAGUCAACUUUGAAAUCAUCCAGCCUGUCACCAUUUUGUCCCUUUUGUUUAUAAUCUGGAAACUUUCUUUUGCAUGUGCACAGGACAACAGCACUGUUUGUCAGUCUUUGAAGCACUCUUGCAGUAUAGAUAAUAACAACCAGUCCUAUAAGAAUGACUAGAAAGGAAGUGGAGUACAAAACAUUGACUUCCAGAUGAUAUAACUUCUAUCAGAGUAAAGAGAGAAAGAGUUAAUACAGCCCCCAGUGUACUACUAUGCAACCAGAUAGCACUUAACCCAAAAUUUUGGUUGUGUCUUCUCUCUCCCUUUGGAAGAAAGAAGGAGGAAAAUGUUGAGAGUGUAAAAAGCAUCUGGCCCCAAUUCUGCCAUGUUUUAUUAGAAUGAGAAACAGAAUCCAGUUUCCACUACUACAGAUAGCUGUAAUCUUUAUUGCCACAAGUAAAUGAAGAAUUGACAUGUUUAGUCACAGGUAAAAUGUGUAUCUCUCAGUUUUUUAUCACUGAUAAUGGUACUAGCCUUAAUUCUUAGAAGUACAUUGUUAAUCCAGUAAGAUUGCAAAAUGAUAUAAAAAGAUAAAAGGCCGCAUAUAUAAUAUUGAGUUUAUUAUACAUCACUAGUGUACAAUGAAAAAAACAGCCAAGAAGUUUAUUAAAAUAUCAGUACUGGAGGAUGCAGCAAGGCAGUAGAGGUGCAGUUAUAUAUCAUUACAUUUUUUUUCACUGAAAGAGUGGUUGGGCAUUGCAAUAAGUUGCCCACGUAACUUAUUACAUUAGUGGUUCCACCACUGUCUCUGGAAACAUUCAAGAGGUGUCUGGAUGUGGCAGUUUGGGAUAUGGUUCAGGAGUGAUAAUAGUGGUGCCAGGUUGAUGGUUGGACUAGAUGAUCUUGAAAGUGUCUUCCAACCCUGAUGAUUCUGUGAAAUACUCAAAAGAGAUUCAAAAUUGAGGAUUUUUUUUUUAAAUUUGCACCAAGGAUCCAAAGUCCUUUAAUGGAUCAGCAAAAAACCCACUAAAUGAGUAUCUGAAAUUGACAGUGUGAUCCGGAUAUUGCAUCAGAUAAUAUCUUGAUGGAGACACCAGUUUGGAGACACAUCUGGAGACAAAUUUGGAGACAGGGUAGAGGAUGUAGCAUCAUAGCACAGGAUCUUAAGUGUCACCAUGGGAAUGCUUGUCCUCAGUUAUGAGUACAAGCAGUUGAAAAUUUUCAAAUGCCCUCUACUGUUUGUGCCACCUACACAAAUGUUGCUAGCAGGCAUUCAUUUCAGAACUCAGUUGCCAAAGAGAAAAAGCUUAGGACUGAGCAUUGUGCUGUAGGAUGGGUACAACUGCGUCUUUUUCAGACAGAUGCAUUGAUCUCAGACAUCAUAUCACCAAGAAAAUGGUCCAGAGAUUGGCUCCUCCUUGACUGGGACUUCUUAAGUGUGAUACCCAGUAGUAUGGGUAGAAAGCAGCUUAAAGUUGUGCAUAAUUCAGCUACCAUGCUCACAGGCAGUGUGAGAGACUCUGUCUUUUUCAGGCAUUUCCUGGAUUUAGUAAAGGGUAGAAAUGUAUUUCAGUGUGUUGUAUUUGUUGCUCUAUUUUAAGUGUACUUGUAAUUUUGCUUACACAUAAUUCCACCAAUAACGUAACUUCACACAGAGGUGCUAGCAGGUAAAAUGUAUCUUGAUGAAUACACUGUCCCAUGGUUUUCAGGUUGGUCAGUUUGAAUACUGCAGAGAUGAUUUGAACAUCUUAGUCAUUCAAAUAGCUAACCUAAUUGUUUGGGUUUUUAAAAAUAAAUUACUCUCCUCCCAAUAUUGACAUUACUAAUAAAUUGUUAAUUAGUUCCAUUCAGUAUGCCAGCAAUAGAUGAUAAGUUUGAUAAACCCAGAACUUCAUCAGCACUUUACAAACCACACUGAAGGCCUGAUGGUUCCAUUCUUUUUUUAAGGCAUUGAUAAAAUGUGUCUAACACCAACCCCAAACAUCCUAAUGUGCCCAUGAAUCCUGUUACUCCUGGACUUGAGAAAUUAUAUGCCCUAAAUCAGUAGAAAUCUACUAUAGAAUUCUACUUACACAGUACCCUAUGGUAGGAAUUUCUGAAACAGUGUAGUCACUAAUAUGCCAUCGAUGCAGAGAACAAAGAAGCAGGAAGUCCGAAAAUCCCAUCUGCUCUUUCCUGGUAAUAAGCUUGUUGCUUUAUGCUGCAAUAGCUGCAGGCUGGAUCUGCCUUUCAGGCAAGCCAGUAAAGAAUUAAUUGCUGUAAUCCAGUCUGGGCUAUACAAAAGAUGUGUGACAAUAAGGUCAGAGUACAGAGAGUAAACUCCCAAGUCUUGUGAGAUUAUUUUAAAAUGUGCAGUUCCAGUCUGAAAAAUUACUGUGAAACUAGUUUUAUAAAAAUAGAGCCACUAUCAUGCCAGCAGAAGUCCCUCCUAUCCAGUAUUCUGCCUUUAGCAAGGGCUGGUAGUAGCUUUGUAAGGAAAAUAUCUCAGAAACAAGAAAAAUAUUGAGGGAUAUUUUCCCUCUUUCAGAAGUCAUUGAAUCAGGACAUCUGCGUCAUUUAAUUUUGAUAGCAGCCAAUGUGUAAUAAUAUUCCAUUUGCUGAGACCCAUUUUUAAGCCAUUUAAACACUAGGGCUCUACAACUCCCUGUGGCAAUUAGAGCUGCAAUUUAAUAAUGUAUUGUUAGAAAAACUACUUCUUAUUAUCUGCUUUAAAUCUGCUGCUUAGUAAUUUGAUUGGGUGCCCCUUAGUUCUGAUUUUCUGAGGAAGACAGAAUGAUUAAUCAUUCUCUAUUCAGCUUCUCUUUGUCAUUCAUGACUAUAUAAAAUUUAGAUACUUCUCUUCCCGGCUGACAAGCCGUAAUUUAUGUAGCCUUAUCCCCACAGAAAUUGGGCCAAACCUCCCAUUGUUUCCUGUCUCGCUCCAUAACGAAGACGGAAUUUUCUAACCCGUUGUUUUCUUUCUAUUCUCACUCCAUGUUUUCUUAUAAAGCCAAAUGUUCUCAGUUGAAGAAGUCAGCUUAACCAAAAGCAUAUUGCCUUCUUCAGAAACACUCAUAUAUUCAUGAGCAUGCCCUGCUUUAAAAAAUCUGUGCAGACUCUCCUCCAGUCUCCAUACAUAUCCAGAUGCUUCUGUAUUCUGUUAUUUAUUCCAAUUUGUACAAAUUGGCUUGAUAAAAAAAUAAGACUAAAUGAAAUGUAGUUCCCCAGACCAGUUUUUGUGGGUUUUUCAAGGCUGAUAUCCCAGCUAAUGCUUCCAAUUUGUUUGGCACAAGCCUGCUUUGAUUGGUAGGGUAAAUGUUUGUGAGAAGUUCAACAAUGUCACACUUGAGCUGCAUGGAGGUUUUGGAUGGAUACUGGCUAGACCUAGCAAUUUCUUAUUGUUAAAUGUAUACAUUUACUCUGCAUUAUUUGAGCAAUUAAACACUUUAUCCUAAAGUUAUAGCAUGGAUUCUUCAUUCUCAGUAUGUCUUGCAAACAUUUUGACUUCCUAGCUGUUGCUAAUUUCAUGCUAGCUGACUUUCUCUUUUUUUAUACAGUUUCCUUCUCUGAACUGCCAUGGUUCCUAUGGGUUUUUUCCUAAUUUAAUUAAUAUUAAAUUGAAGUACAUUGUAAUCACCAUUAGAAUGGAUUUACUAUAAGAACAAAUCCAAAAUUGCAUCAUUUCAGUGAGCUCAAAUUGCUCCCGUGCUUAUGGUAUCCAGAGAUACUGUCUGUGAAUUAAACUUAGGGUCUGCUAGUUUGUAGAUCCAUCUAGACAGAAUUAGCCAUGACAGCUCUUGUUCAAAGGGUUGUUAUUUGAUUGUUAUCAAAUCACUCUGACUUUCAAAUGCUUUAGAGUCUCUUCCCUCCCCCACUUCCCAUCCCUUCUGUUUAUUAUAAACUGAAAGCAUCAGGCUGAAUCUUGCAAAUCAGGAUGGUUUCUUUCUAAUGAUCUUCAUCCAUAACAAAGACUAAUUAGACUUUCAAAGAAGUUUGAAUAUUUACAUUGUCUCAAGUAUACAAGUAUAUUGGAGAGUAUAAUUUGGUUUACCACUGAUGAAUAAGAAGGAGAAGGUUGAGGGGGAGAUGUUGUGUUCAAGGUUGUUAAUAAAUGAGCUGAUAAUAAAGUUUUUGAAAUAUUGUUUGACUGUGAAGUGCUGAAGAUCACAAUUACAGAAAUACAACUUCUGUCCAGGAGGCUAAAAAUCUAUGACACACCUUCUGCCAAGACUCCAGAUUUCAGCUUGACUUAUCUUCACGGAACAGUGGCAGUUGAUUCAGGAAAAAUACCUUAUUUCCUGAUAAUAUGAUUAUAGGAAUCAUCUAAUCCUGGUUAUGAUUUUUUUCUCUUUUUUUUCCCUUUUAUUCAUCUUCUGCCAUCUUUACUUUUUGUCUAUUUGCAUAUAGUUGGGGAAAGAGAUUGAAGACAUUCACCAACUUCACAAAAAAAGUGGAAAAAAUUACUAUCCAUGUUAGCAAGUCCAUCAUGUGGAUACAUAAGUGAUUUUUACAGUUUGCAAAAUGCUAGUAAGUGUAGGCCAACAGACUCAAGAAUUUAUGAUGCUGCAAAGUGGUUUAGAAGUUGUCAUCCUAAAAAAAUAAACAGCAAUGUGCUUAGCAUUGGUUAUGUGAUGUAUGUAGGAAAAAAAUUAAAUAAUGCAAAACCCUGAGUCCAGUAGUCAUUGUGUUUGAGAAGGCAUAUGUGAGUGGCACCAUGUCAAAGGAGCAUGGAAAAUUUGCAGUUGCUUGAAAGGCUUUUCUUGUCUCAAAAUGGGCAUGUUAGCUUUUCAGAUAGGGAAUGAUUGAAAAAAAUAAGUACCUGAACUUUCAUCCAGGUUCAGUUUGGUUGAGCAAGAAUCUUUGCUGACUCUCCAGAGAAGCUCAUGAAAUUUUUUUUUUUUAUCAUUUAAUUUUUACUGUCAGGUGGGUUAGAAAAAAAAGCCUGUAAAAAUAGUGUGCAAAAACUUGUGUGUAAAAACUUGUCCUUGCACUAUCUAUAACCCGCUGAAUCACAAAAGAUACAAUAAAAUGGCAGAGAUACCUAGAGGGUAAUUUAGGUACAGUUAGAAAACUUACAUCCAAACUGUUUUUCCUGGACCCACUGUUGCAUAAACUGUAUAACUUGCAGAGUACUUGAGAUCUUUGCUGCAACAUCACUAGACUGGCAUAAAACCCCUUGCCCUUCCUCCCGCCAUGCCAGAACUUCUGGGUCUGGGUAGGGAUGGGUCUAUAACGGGCAGUGAUGGAUCUGUCAAUCUUACUCCCUCUGGGUCCCUUUUGUCCAUCCUUGAGAUGUGCAAUCAGUGCUGGACACAAUUCCAGGGCUGGGGGAGAGCUGGUCUUAAAUCAGCCCUUUCUGGGACAAUCUGGAAAUAGAAGAAAUGCAGUACAGAAAAAGUAUUUAUUGAGUACAUUCACUGGAUUGAUGAAGGGUGCAUGAAUUGUGGUAUUACUAAAGGAGUGUAUUCUUCUUAGCUAGAUCUUUUCCUUGUGUUUGCUCCAAUUUCAUAAUGAGAAGCCAAGUCCCUGCUAUCUUCAUUCCCUGUUUCAUUUAUGUUUCUACUGAGGAGAUUCUGAUUCUGAAUUAGAAGGCAGAGGAGUUUUUAAAUAGUCCUGGUUAUCUCCAAAUUAAAACCCAGAAACCACAGUUCUCAAAGCAUGUGCCCUCCUCUGAAUGGGUAUCUGGGAUGUCUCUCACUAGAGUGGAAGAGGCAGGAAUAAACAUUGCUCCUUCCCAGCUUUUGUCCUUCAGCUUUCCACAGAUGUCAGUCAUGUCAGAACUGGUAUGCUUGCUCCCAGGCAGAAUUUUGCUGUGAGAAAACUGGUGUUUUGUUCAAAAGGCUUUUCUGUUACUUUUACAUAUGUUGCUUGGGCAAAUGGAUAAAGUCAAAGCUCAAAUGUAUUAUCAAUUGUUGAAAACAAAACAGUUGAAAACAGUGUUCAAAUGCAUUAUCAGUCACAUACUUCUGAAGAUUUCCCAAAUAUUGUUUAACUAUUUGGCUAUUUGAAAUUACAAUGCUACAAGUAUGGUUAGGUGGAUUCUCAUUCUUAAUUCCAAGAUUUGAGUUACAUACAGGGAUAAUAUAAUUCGAAGUUCUGUGGGUGGAAACUCCCUGGAAGAACCAGAAGAUGUGAAGACAGACCAAUGUUUUCCAGAAUAUUCAUCUUACAGUCAAGUUUGACUAUUAAUUUCAAUGGCACCAUUAUUUACAACAGCACUAGUACCAUUAAAAGUUCCUUAAUUAACUUAUUUGCAUAAUGCUUUCAUCUUUUUCAUAAUGUUUUCUCCCCUUUCUGCUUCUUUUAGUAUUUCAACAUGCAAAAAUGGCUUGAAUGACAGAAGAAGUUUGUCCUUUCUUUCCAGAAUUGAUUGUGUCUUCUUUUUUUCCUGAGUUUCAAAAUGUUGGCUGCCAAUUGUUUUGACCACAAUAGCUGUCUUAAGCUCCCUAAACAGAUGUCUGAUGACUGCACAGCAAUGCCAAGAUUCAGACAAGUGCUUUUGGCAUGAUUAUAUUCAGAUAUUGAUUCUAACAGGACCAAACCAGCCACUUUAUGUCCUGGCACAGCCUACAAUGCUGUAGCUGUCAAUUUAUAACUGACACAGUUAUAAAAACCUCAUGAAAAAAUAUUCCAUUUCCAAGCAGCUUUCUUGGAAAGGGAGGGAAACUGAAUUUUUCUUGGGUCAUUCAUACAGGUGCAGCAGUACCACCCAGAGGCCACCGCUGUGCUGGACACUGCGCAAACUGGAGGCAGUUCCUGUCCAAAAGGGCUCAGAGGCUGGAAAGGCAAAGAAAACACUAAGGCUUAGAAGAGAUUAUCAUAUAAAGCUGUAUUUGUAAUAGUCUUCAGAUGAAACUCCCCAAAAUUUCAUUCUCUCACUGUCCUACUCAAGCCAAAUCUGAAUGUAGAUAACCCUUCUAAUCAUUGGCACUGCUUUUAAUUCUUAAUGAGACCACUUGUAUGAGAUGAUGAAAAUCCAGGAUUUGGUCUUUGGUCCCAAGACAAUGUAUUUUUUGUUCCAGAGUUGUUCCUGAGCUAUCAAUAAGCAUAUGAUGAUAGUGUGGCUAUCCAGUGGAACAUGGGCCAUAAGGAUCCAGCUUGCUCGGGGCAGGGAAUAUGGCAAAAAGACUACCAGGAACAUCUUGUUUAUUCCACAAACACAGCUGUUCCACUGUGUUACACAACCUGCUUAGAUUGUGCCAAACAUAUUUGAGAAUACCUGCAGAUUCUUCUCUCUGUAAUGCAAGGAAUGUUUGUAAGUCCUAGUUUUGCUGAUGAUGUUAGAGUUGAGUUGCUCAGACCAGGCAAAGCACAAAACAGAAGAGAAGGCUUUUGAAGUCAAAGAAGGACCUUAUCAGUUUAAGAACUUAGUUGUUCUGCAACAAUUAAGCAGCUAAUUGACAGAGCUCUUCUGGUCAACAAUUUCAGACUUCGGCACAUGAAACCUACUUAUGUCUUUAGUCUCUUUGUCCUUUGCCUUUAUGGAAUGAUGGAUGUGUCUGCUGCUGUGAAGAAAAAGGAGGUGUUGUGAUGCAGCAGAAGGAAGAAAAGGAGGCAUUUCUCCCUUGUAGUCUGGCAUCAACUAGUCUGAAAGCUGAAAUCACCUCCUGGUGUAAUGGAGUGGCUACAAUGAGCAAUGUUCAAGUAUGAUCAGAGAGCAAAACCAAUGAAGAAAGUGGGUGCUUUUCAUUCGAAACAAUGAGAUUAUGUUAAAACAUCAAGUAUCAAGGAAGGCAAGCAGAGUAGCAGAGUUCUGACCUUAUUGUUGUGAGUGAAUAAACUGAACACCUGAAGCUAUCGCAACACUACACACAUCCCUAUAGGAAGAAGCAAGGAACAGGGGUAACCUAUGGACUAAAUGCGAGAUCCAUUUGAUGUUUUUUACAAGGCAAGGUAAGGAGACUGUGAAGUAACAGAGUGUGUCUUGUCAAACUGACACAGAUCUUUAUUUCAAGAGGAAGAGGAUGAGGGGACAGUGUUACAGAAGUUUAUCACUCUGUGUCAAGCACUGAUAGAAAGGGAUGCUCAGGCUGAGUGUUCUGUGGAACCCUACACAGGAUACAACAGAAUAUAUUAACACUGCAAAGAUGUUCUUAUGACAUUCCUUGUUCUUGUAAGUAUCAGUAGUUUUGAAGCAAUCUACAUACUUAAAUGCAUCAAUAUGCAUUAUAUGCAUUAUUUCACUCCUUUCCUCUGAUUGCUUGAUUCCCCUCCCCGUAGAGCAAUGCCCCAGCUUUGUAAAAUAAAGUAUCCAUUACACACUGAAAAAAUGGGCCUGAUGAAUCACAAACCACCACAUAAUUUAGUACAUCAUCUCUCAAUACAGCUUUUCAGUCUAAUUUAAUGCAUUAUUGAAGAUAACACGUUCAUUAAAACAGCUGCCAGCAAACUCUUCAUUUGGAUUGCUUCAUGGAAGGACUAGUCAAAGGGAAAUGAAACACCACAGGCUAAUGGUAUGCAAAAAGGACAAAAAACAUUUAAGUUUUGAUACAUUGGUAUUGAGAUGUUAAUAUGAUUUUUCUUAAUGAGUACUGCUCUGCCAGAUACGGUAAAUCACAAAACUCAUGUUUCUUCUUAGCCAACUUACAACAUAUAAUAAAAAAUAACAAAAAAAAAAACACAUGGCAAAAUUACCAGGGCUGUUCAGUAAGGAUGACUUAAUGAGCACAGAAUUAUUAUUUAUUGUUUCUUAUUGCUACUUCUCUGUCAGUGAGCAUUUAAGUAGCAGAUAUUUUCAUCCAGAGCUCCUGGUCUCGGGGGGAGUGAACUGAAAUCUCUCAUCCCUUCAAACACUAGGAAGUCCUAGAUUCUAAUGUUCUGGCUCAAAUGAAUGUCUAGCAUCUUCCAUUGUAACUGGGCUUUAGUCGUAAGUGUUGGUCUCCCAACAGGACCAAAUUUGUGAUGUUAAAAUUUUGCCAGUAUUUUUUUCAUCCCAUUGUACCAUUGUUUAUUGGUAAAGCACAGAGUUUUAACAAUUAUAGUUUAACUAGGACAUGUCAUCAGCAAGAGACACACACCAGAAAAAUUAUCAAUAACUAAAGAUUUAUUAGAGUUACUGACAUUAAUAAGAUAUUAAUAAAAUUAACAAAACAAAAUAUCUGCUGUCUCAUGUCUCCAUUGCAUAAUCAGUCUGAACAUCCUUUAAGCCAGACAACAUACUUACUCAGCUGCAGGCCCAGUGGUUUAAAUUACACAGACAUCUAGACCUCCUGCCUCCCUUAUGAAAUGUGCAGUCAAGGAGGGAGAGUUCGACGGAGACAGCCACUCACCAGUCUGUUAUUAACCUAUGGCUUUAAUACUUUGCAUGCUUUUAAGCUCUUGCCUAGGUCCAGCAGCCUCCAAACACUAACUUUGUCAUGUCCAGGAAGUCCUUUUAAACUGAGAUGUAAGGAAGAAAAGUCCAUUCUGAAUAAACCAUAAUCUAAAGCAUCUCGUGACAAAGACUAGUAGUCAAUACCUUUGUCUGUCCUGUAAGCUACUGAACUACUGAUUAUUUUAGACAACAUAUUAUAACAAAGUAUGAAUUCUUAUUUCAGUUUCAAUACUUAUAUUCUCGCCAAAAGGAAAAAAAAAAGGCUUCACUGUAGUAUCGAAGGAGUGUAACUGACAUAGUGUAGAUGUCUAGAAAUCUGAGCUGCUCAUUCCAGAUUCCUUUGCAAACCAUGGAAGUAAAGAUGUACAUUGAUUAAUGUCACAGUAAAAUAGAUGUUUGCAAUCUGACCAAUUGAAUUGCUUCUUACAAAUGUUUGGUUCUCUAUAUAGGAUAGAAUAAAACAAGUAACUCAGAAACAGAAAUCUACACUGUAGAUGUAUAAAUUUAGGCAAGAUGAAUCCAUCCAAAGUAAGUUUAAUAAAAGUAGGAAAGAUAAAUACAACAACAUACUGUCAUGCAACGUAGGUAUUUCAUGAUUUCAUGGCAAAUAUUAAGUGUGCACUUCUUAAAAAAAUGGUGAUUAAAUAGUUACCAGAAUUGCAAACAUGUAGUGGGGUAAAACCCUCUAGCAAUUUUUGUCCAGAUUCCUUCUGCAGUAGUAGAGAUACAUUUUCCAAAAAUCAUUUGUUCCGUCUCAAACUUAUAAUUUAAGUUAUUUGGGGAGAACCUUUCUCUGGAUUUUGAUGUCUGCCCUUGGAGGUGCAAUAUGAACCCAUUUU